CCUUGGAGGCUAGUCGCUAUAACAAAGCUAGGCAACACGCACGUGCUCGAAGAAAGGAACCAACGUGCGACCAGGGCAGAGAGGUCGGCGGACAAAGGUAUGGCACGUGAUGGAUGGAUGCCGUUCGGCAUUUUCAUGCGUGUCAGCAUAUUCAAGUACUAUUCAGAAUUAUAGUAUAUAUAACUAUAGGGCCUAAAGGGCUACGCCCAGGAAGUUAGGCGCUCGUGACGUCGAAGCCACACAUGGCUGCGGUCGAAACAACCAGCACAGCACAUAGGCGACGCCGUCCGGCACGCCUGCUGCCAGUGCGAUGUAGCAGGCUUAAAAUUGACGAUUAGCACGGCCGUGCUGGGCGGCCUGUGCUGCAAAGAAGUGCAUGCAGUACGCGUAGAUGCUCGACA
This is a non-coding RNA of Eremothecium gossypii ATCC 10895, 401 nucleotides long. NCBI's taxonomy places the organism in Eukaryota, Fungi, Ascomycota, Saccharomycetes, Saccharomycetales, Saccharomycetaceae. The record is from RefSeq.